RNAcentral lists this transfer RNA (72 nucleotides) under Planctomycetia bacterium. RNAcentral's name for it is "tRNA-Gln". It matches the Rfam family "tRNA". From Rfam's summary of the family: Transfer RNA (tRNA) molecules are approximately 80 nucleotides in length. Their secondary structure includes four short double-helical elements and three loops (D, anti-codon, and T loops). The record is from RNAcentral. Lineage: Bacteria; Pseudomonadati; Planctomycetota; Planctomycetia. RNAcentral also lists the same sequence under 1 other name.
AGGGGUAUGGUGAAACGGUUAUCACGGGUGACUCUGACUCACUUAUUCGGGGUUCGAAUCCCUGUACCCCUG